CUCGAAUAUCAUCUAGUGCAUUUAAAGGUGAGGUUUUUUUUGCUACAUUUCCAGGGUUGUUACGAAACCGUAUUAGGUUCAGUAUAACAGGUAUAAUUUACAAGAUCAUUUAACUAGUUACUUGGAUAACUGGGGAAAAUUUAGAGUUAAUACAUGCAGGAACCUCGUAGAACCUAUGAAAUUAUUAGUCAAACCAAUCGUCCUCGAUCACCGACGACAGAUCUUUCAAAUAUAUGCCCUACCAACUAUUGAUGGUAGUAUAGAGGAUUACUAUGAUUGCAACGGGUAACGAGGAGUUCGAUUCCGGAGAGGAAGCCUGCGAAAUGACUACCAUAUCCUAGGAAGGCAGCAGGCGCUUAAAUUAUCCAAUCCCGGAACGAGGAGGUAGUGACGAG
RNAcentral lists this non-coding RNA (395 nucleotides) under Aedes aegypti (yellow fever mosquito). Its description in RNAcentral is "Eukaryotic small subunit ribosomal RNA". It matches the Rfam family "Eukaryotic small subunit ribosomal RNA", at positions 36 to 474 of the family's 1831-position model. Lineage: Eukaryota; Metazoa; Arthropoda; Insecta; Diptera; Culicidae. The record is from Rfam by way of RNAcentral.